Molecule: ribosomal RNA, 253 nt
Filed under: uncultured bacterium
Lineage: Bacteria
Description: partial 16S ribosomal RNA
Rfam family: Bacterial small subunit ribosomal RNA
Source: RNAcentral
UACGGGGGGGGCAAGCGUUGUUCGGAAUUACUGGGCGUAAAGGGCUCGUAGGCGCCAACUAAGUCAGACGUGAAAUCCCUCGGCUUAACCGGGGAACUGCGUCUGAUACUGGUUGGCUUGAAUCCGGGAGAGGGAUGUGGAAUUCCAGGUGUAGCGGUGAAAUGCGUAGAUAUCUGGAGGAACACCGGUGGCGAAGGCGGCAUCCUGGACCGGUAUUGACGCUGAGGAGCGAAAGCCAGGGGAGCAAAGCGGG